ACGAACGCUGGCGGCGUGCUUAACACAUGCAAGUCGAACGGAAAGGCCCUGCUUGCAGGGUACUCGAGUGGCGAACGGGUGAGUAACACGUGGGUGAUCUGCCCUGCACUUCGGGAUAAGCCUGGGAAACUGGGUCUAAUACCGGAUAGGAGCCAUUUUUAGUGUGAUGGUUGGAAAGUUUUUUCGGUGUAGGAUGAGCUCGCGGCCUAUCAGCUUGUUGGUGGGGUAAUGGCCUACCAAGGCGGCGACGGGUAGCCGGGCUGAGGGGGUGGACGGCCACAUUUGGGCUGAGGUACGGCCCAGGCUCCUACGGGAGGCAGCGGUGGGGAAAAUUGCACAAUGGGCGCAAGCCUGAUGCAACGACGCCGCGUGGGGGAUGACGGCCUUCGGGUUGUAAACUCCUUUCGCUAGGGACGAAGCUUUUUGUGACGGUACCUAGAUAAGAAGCACCGGCUAACUACGUG
RNAcentral lists this ribosomal RNA (464 nucleotides) under uncultured bacterium. RNAcentral's name for it is "partial 16S ribosomal RNA". It matches the Rfam family "Bacterial small subunit ribosomal RNA", at positions 29 to 507 of the family's 1533-position model. The record is from RNAcentral.